AGAAAAAAAACUGAUAAAUAUCUGCGUCAGAAUAAUUCAUAGUUAAUAAAAAUGUAUUCAUUUUCAAUUGUGCAUGUAACUGUGAUUCUAGAUCAUGUUUGCCCUCUCAAAGAUCAAACUAAUUUGGGUUAAGUUGAAAUAUAAUAUCAUUGAAAAUGUUGCACAAUCCUGAAGUAAAUAGGUGGGAAAUUGACCAGUUCUUGCAUAAUUUACCAUAAUUUGGCAACUUCCACAAAUGCAAUUAUGGAUAGCUCCUUAACAGAUUGUGUAGUACAGGAAUUUACAGUAUUACAAAAUAUCCUAGUGGCUGCAUUUAGUGUUGAUUGAGUAAAAUAUUGGUAAAAUGUAUACACUUUAUUUUGCAGUGUCUUUGUUACAGUGUAAUUAUGCAGCAGUAUGCUUAAGGACUGAGCAAUACUAACAACGUGAUUACUAGUUAGGGUUAAGAGUUACACUUUAUAUAUGUACAGAAUAUGAACUUACUUACCUAAGAACGUCCUGGAUAAUAUAAGGAAACGACAUGGGUUAUGGGUAGGUUUUGGUACAUGUUCAGGGUAAUAACCCAGUUAUUGUAAUUAUUAUGACAAGUAUAUAGUACUGUGUAUGUACAUGCGGGUUCUUGCAUGCAAUUAUGCAAGAAUAAAUAAUAAAUGUAUGAUUACUAUUAGUGUAAGUACAUGUAACUUGUGUUUCAAAGACACUGCAAUAAAGUUUAACCAAGUUUCAAAGCAUUAAUAAAGCCCUAGUCUAAUCGAGCUGUUUUGACUUUGAUAUAACCAGGACAUAAUUUUUUGAUAUCAACAAUUCAAUUUUCACUUAAAAGUGGGGUAUGAUUUUUUUCAAAAAUGCUUCAGAAAACUGAGUCGGGUACCAAAACAAACAUGUAGCCAAUCAGCAGUAAGGGGUGUGUCUACUCAUGAUGUGGACGAGAGAGCGAUCAGUGCACAGGACAGACGUUAGCAGAGCCGAGUGUAAUGACAGAAAGAUAGAGAUGGCAGAUAAAAACAAAAGAGAACAUCUGCGGAACAAAAGAGGUCUUACUAUAAGGAAAUAAGUAGGACCCAUGUAAAUAUCGGAUCAGCUUUCCAGCGAUGGAGAGAAGGAGCCGAGGUUGCUUUGUUUCUUCUUGAUAGAACUAAUUGUUGCCUGGGUUGCGUACAUAUGUGUGGGGCGGAGCUUUCAAAAUAGGGGCGGGACCCUUUUGGGGUAGGGCCUGUUUGUUUUGGUGAUUUGAAAUAUCUAUAUUGGCUACCAGAAAUCACUUACCCCACCUUUAAAUUUGAAUUAUUGGUAUCAGGAAUGACAUCUUCCUUCACAGACAUCAAAUUAUUGAUAUUAGGAAUUACAUUUAGUGAAAAACGUAAUUCUUGAUAUUUGUAAAAGCAUUUUGACAAGUUGACCUUUGCAAGGUUUUUUUUGUAAUAUUCAAGCAUACAGCUGUAUUCAGUUUGCAUGAAAGAUCAGCUAUUUCAGCGCAUGUGAAAGAGUGGUAAAACACUGACCUUUAGGUUACAAAAUUUGAGCACUCGUUGCUAUGAUGCGGUUAAACUUGGUUUGACAUUUUUUUGUUGUUGAUUGUUUUGUUGUUGUUGUUGUCAUGGUGCACAAUGUAGUCAUGUUUUAAAAGUCCUUUCUAGAUUAAUCUAGAUUUUAAUUAUAAUUGUCAUGACAGAUAAAUAUCGUACUACUGAUAGUGUUAUUAAUGAAAGUGUACUGACCAACUACUUAUAUUGCGCAUUAGACAGAUGAACAAAAAAGGCCACUCCAAAUGAAAACAACACGUCCGGUUGCUGCACAUUGCAGAAUGUCUGUGGUUUCAAUGAAAAGUGAACAACAUGAUGCACAAAAUUUUUCCUUUUUACUUCUUAUUAAGUCAAGGUGAAAUGGUUAAUGAGCCAAGACGAGCAUCAAUGAGUCACUGAAAGCAUUUUAGAUUAACAACACCAGCACAAAAAAAAACAAAAAAAAAAAAAAACACUGCUAUAUAUAUAUUGCCAGACACACUGGGUUCUUAUUUUAUAUACCAAAGCGACAUUUUACACACCUACACACCUCUUCACAUACACGCCACAAUCUCUUACAUAUCAAGGUUGCAAAUUAUUCUUUCAUUUUCAUUCUUAUCAGAAAAUAACAGCUUGCAGGAAGCCUGGUAAUUAAUUUAAAAUUCAACAAGUAGCAAAAUGUCAUCCCCAGUAUUAUUGGCUUCAUGUGCCAUGAGAAAGAUGGAGAAUUAAACUUAAAAAGAGAGAUAGAAUAGAAUAGAAUAGAAUAGAAUAGAAUAGAAUAGAAUAGAAAUAGUUAUAAUAAUAGUCCACAGAGAAGGUUUCAUAUCUAGCUUUUAUCUUAACACAUAAGUGUUGUAGGAUACAUUAAUUCAGUGGGAUGUAGGUAAUCUGCUACCUCUGUGACCAGGAUUGUUUCCUUUGCUAUUUAUUAUGAUAUGUUUUUGAUAUUAAAGGCAAAAUGUCACCUUUGCUGUUAAACUUGAUUAAACGUGUUUUUUUUUUUUUAGCUUACAGGGGAAAAAAGGUUUUGUAAAAUGUACCUGGAUUGGGUUUAUAAUGGAUUUAAGCCUUAGCACUGUUUUUUUUUGUUUUUUUUUUUGUUUUUUUUUUAAGCAUUCCAACAACUUUUACUUCAGAUCUUGGAGAUUAUUAAUAUUUGUAGGCAGAGCCUUUACAUCUGUUCAUAUGCUGCACAUAAGGCAUGCUUUUUACAUUGAAAUCUCUUUGAAAGAUGCAUUUUUCAGUAAAAACAACAGCAACAACAACAACAAUUGCAGAUAAUGUUCAGAUCAGUUCAUUUCACAUCUAGCUACUGCAGCUCUCUCAUCACAAACUGAAUAUCCUCUAUAUCCGAUCGAGUUCAUAUUCAGUGCAAUUGCUAAACUUGUUUUCAACCUAUGGACAGUCUUUUCACUUGCUGCCAGUCUUUGCUCAAAUUCAAUUCAAGACACCGUUGGCGUUUUCCAAAGCUGCAGGUCUCCACAUGAAGGGUUUUGCAGCUCCUCAAGUCUUGCUCCUCAGUGCAAGACCUGUGAGAAAAGCAAACAGCACUACCACAGACAAAUAAAAACCUGAGUUUCACCGCACCGUAAUGCCUUAUAGCUGCACUUGAACUAUCAAUAUCUUGUUCUUGCUUUUAAGAAAAGCAUCAUAGUAUUGCUCAUAUGCAUGGACUGUAUAUCCCUAAUCUUAAAUAUAACAUUUUGAUGCAUAACUCAUCUUGUUCCAUUUCUAAUACAGACAUGAAUGAUACCUCAAAUUAUGUGGCUUGCAAUGUCUAAUUUGUAAAUUAAUCACUCUUCUAAGUCAGAUCUUUUCAGUGAAUUGUUUGAACCUCAAAAAAAAAAAAAAGUAGAGGUGGGCAAUUAUUUUAAUCUAGAUUAAUCUCA
Carassius gibelio (silver crucian carp) is the source of this 3394-nucleotide long non-coding RNA. RefSeq lists it as uncharacterized. Lineage: Eukaryota; Metazoa; Chordata; Actinopteri; Cypriniformes; Cyprinidae. The record is from RefSeq and is a predicted model, not a curated record. The transcript is spliced from 2 exons.